This 278-nucleotide long non-coding RNA is filed under the name Nicotiana benthamiana. Its description in RNAcentral is "long non-coding RNA (NBEN_LNC022960)". The record is from RNAcentral. Lineage: Eukaryota; Viridiplantae; Streptophyta; Magnoliopsida; Solanales; Solanaceae.
UAGGAGCUUUUUUCAAACUAAAGAACUUUAAUCUGCAGCAUUUUUUAUUGCGUGGGAAUCUACAGCUCUUCGAGACGUGGGAAUAUCAGAUUUCCAGCAGCAUUCUGGUCUGUUUCAGCAGCAGUUUGGGCUCGAACACAGUCUGCUGUUGGAUUCUGUUUGGGCACGAUUCUAAGAGCUGCUUUUGGAACUCUCAAAUUUGAUUACAACUGCAGCAUAUUGUUCGAGACUUGGUCGUGUGGAUCUUGAUCGUAUUAACUGGAAUUUGAGCUUCUCCG